ACUGGAUAGCUAGAGGUCGGUAGGGGCAAAGGGAAUUCCCAGUGUAGCGGUGAAAUGCGUAGAUAUUGGGAAGAACACCGGUGGCGAAAGCGCUUUGCUGGACCGAACCUGACGCUGAGGGACGAAAGCUAGGGGAGCGAAUGGGAUUAGAUACCCCAGUAGUCCUAGCCGUAAACGAUGGAGACUAGGUGUUGCCUGUAUCGACCCGGGCAGUGCCGAAGCCAACGCGUUAAGUCUCCCGCCUGGGGAGUACGCACGCAAGUGUGAAACUCAAAGGAAUUGACGGGGGCCCGCACAAGCGGUGGAGUAUGUGGUUUAAUUCGAUGCAACGCGAAGAACCUUACCAGGGCUUGACAUCCCGCGAACCCUCGCGAAAGUGAGGGGUGCCUACGGGAACGCGGAGACAGGUGGUGCAUGGCUGUCGUCAGCUCGUGUCGUGAGAUGUUGGGUUAAGUCCCGCAACGAGCGCAACCCUCGUCCUUAGUUGCCAGMCUUAAGUGGGGCACUCUAGGGAGACUGCCGGUGAUAAACCGGAGGAAGGUGGGGAUGACGUCAAGUCAUCAUGCCCCAUAUGUCCUGGGCUACACACGUACUACAAUGGUCGGGACAACGAGCAGCCAACUCGCGAGAGUGAGCUAAUCUCUUAAACCCGGCCUCAGUUCAGAUUGCAGGCUGCAACUCGCCUGCAUGAAGGAGGAAUCGCUAGUAAUCGCAGGUCAGCAUACUGCGGUGAAUCCGUUCCCGGGCCUUGUACACACCGCCCGUCACACCAUGGAAGUUGGCCAUGCCCGAAGUCGUUACCCUAACCUUUCGAGGAGGGGGACGCCGAAGGCAGGGCUGAUGACUGGGGUGAAGUCGUAACAAGGUAAG
Molecule: ribosomal RNA, 870 nt
Filed under: cyanobacterium EBD09
Lineage: Bacteria; Bacillati; Cyanobacteriota
Description: bacterial SSU rRNA
Rfam family: Bacterial small subunit ribosomal RNA
Source: RNAcentral